Molecule: RNA transcript, 6239 nt
Organism: Oncorhynchus keta (chum salmon)
Lineage: Eukaryota; Metazoa; Chordata; Actinopteri; Salmoniformes; Salmonidae
Exons: 4
Source: RefSeq, a predicted model, not a curated record
AGUAUAUUUAGGCAGGUUAGCCUAGCUAAACAGGAUGACUACAGACAGCUCUGCAGUAUAUUUAGGCAGGUUAGCCUAGCUAAACAGGAUGACUACAGACAACUCUGCAGCAUACUAAAGCAGGUUAGCCUAGCUAAACAGGAUGACUACAGACAGCACUGCAGUAUAUUUAGGCAGGUUAGCCUAGCUAAACAGGAUGACUACAGACAGCUCUGCAGUAUAUUUAGGCAGGUUAGCCUAGCUAAACAGGAUGACUACAGACAGCUCUGCAGUAUAUUUAGGCAGGUUAGCCUAGCUAAACAGGAUGAAUACAGACAGCUCUGCAGCAUACUAAAGCAGGUUAGCCUAGCUAAACAGGAUGAAUACAGACAGCUCUGCAGCAUACUAAAGCAGGUUAGCCUAGCUAAACAGGAUCACUACAGACAGUACAGUAGGGGGAGAACAUAACAUUAGAUGGCCUGGCUGACUGACUGUUACUGUCUGAGAUGAGAUGAUGACUUUAAGAAAAACAAAAAUGAUAAAGUCAUCAUAUAAAAACAAAGUAAUAUACUCAACUGAAAUAUAUUAAUAUUUAUAGUAAUUUGCUAUUUUUCUAUUCAAUAUGGACAAUUGAAUGUUCACCGUUUUUUACUUUGGAAUUUCCAUUAAAAAGCUCGACAAUCAUUUUAAUGUCAUUAUUUCAUAAUGCAUUUAAAUAUUUACCAAAAAAUUGAAACCGAAAUCAAAAACCGUGAUAAUUUUAUGGGACCCGGAACUGAACCGGCCUCAAAAAGCACUAAUUGCUACCAAUAGGACAUGGGAGCAUAGAUGAUAGUUUUCAGAGUCAUUUGAACCUUUUACUCAACGUUAUUAUAUGAACUUCCACACCUGCUUAGAAACAAUGAAUGUGUGUAUGUACUUUCACUGUUUCCUAUUUUAUGUGAGACGUUAAACUGAUCCGCCAUUUUGGAUCUCUGCUCCACCAUAUUAGUCUCUCUAGGGCCUCCUUAAUGGUACAGCAACCCAAUGUCUCUGUGUGAAACUCCACACAUGUUGGUUCUCUGGACCGCCAUACAGUCAAAAAAAAAUUGCUAUCCAGAGCCUAAAAGGGUUAUUCUGCUUUUCCCAAGAGGAGAACCCUUUGAAGAACCCUUUUUGGUUCCAGGUAGAAGACCCCUUGUUAAUCCAAUUUCUCCGUGUGAAACUCCUCACUGAUCCACCAUUUUGUUUUUCCUUCCCCCCCCCCAGGACUGCAGGGCAUGCCAGGGAAUUACCUGUCAGACGACGGCACUGCGUCCUGCUGGGCACCCUCACAUCAAAACCAGGACCCACCACUUCAAAACCAGGACUCCCUCCCGUAACCAGGAGCCUGCUCAGCUGCACAUGGCCCUCCCUUUGGGCCUCCCAGGUACCACAUUCCUGGACCCCCCUGCUCUGUCCCACCCAGUGAUGAUGAUGCACAGGGGAGGACAUCCUCACCACCAUGGGCCCAGCCACCCUGCCUAUGCCCCCCUGCCAGCCUCAAGUCCCUCAAUGCCCAUCACCCAUCCCAGCAGACCCCUACCCCCCUUCAUCCUGAACCCUGGACUGCCUCGCCCAGUAGACUCUAAGGGAUUCCUCUUUGAAAAAAAAGCGAUUGAGAGACAUUGGGUGUUUUCUCUUACCCGAGACUGAAGAUAACUAAAGAGGCACCUGCUAUGUACUAUGGACUCCUAGAAAAAAAAUAAAAAGAGACUUCUUUCAGAGAACUGUACCUCCUCCAAGUCUCGACUGCGGAUGGAUUUGGACCAAGGAGAAGCCAAUGUCUGUAUAACACAGAGGUGCCCUUACAAAUAGGAUUCCAGAAGAGAUGAGAAUGAGGAGAAAGAAAGACAGACAGAGAUUGAAAGGCAAACUAUAUCAACUCCUAAAGGGGAGGGAAGAGGAGAGAGGGGAGAUUCUGUAUACUGUUGUACAAUUACGCUGGACUCUCAAGGAGAACUGGGAAUUGAAGUAUUGUAAAUGCUAUGGUAUUGUUCUGCAUAAUAUGUUGUUUCUAAUCGUUUUUUGGGAAAAAAAGGAUGUGAACUUCUUGGUUUUUUUUUUGUUUCUUUCCACACUAUGUGUGUGCUGUCUCUAUGACUUCUGACCUCUGACCUCCUCCCUAUUAAAAUCACCAUGAGUUUAAAAAGAAAAAAAUAUAUGUGAAUAAACCAAUAAUUCGAUCAACCAAUCUUCUUCCAGGCCUUUCUUUUGGAUGGGUGAAAGAUAUCCUGAGUGUCAGUCUAUUUGUGUUAUCAUACCAACUCCCUGUCACCCAUUGUCAUGCACAAACAGAUCUGGGACCAGGCUAGAGGUGAAAGAGUGGCUCACAGCUUGUGACAGACAGACAGACAGACAGACAGACAGACAGACAGACAGACAGACAGACAGACAGACAGACAGACAGACAGACAGACAGACAGACAGACAGACAGACAGACAGACAGACAGACAGACAGACAGACAGACAGACAGACAGACAGACAGACAGACAGACAGACAGACUGUAUAAAGCAUUGGACAUCUCGGUAUGAUUGAGGAGUUCUGAGCCUGUUCCAGAAUUACAUUCAUGUACUCAAUUGUAUUUAUGUCAUGGGGCUGGAGUCUGCAUUGUCCGAUGCAUUCUCCCCCCACCCCACUAUGUCUAGUUCUGGGGUCAAGUUUCCCCUAGGAUCAGCUUCGCAUUCCCCAAUCCUAAACUUAACCAUUAGUGUGUAAAAUGCUAAACUGACCCAAGAUCAGCGUCUAGGGGCACGGGGAAGUUUAUUAGAGAUAUUGCAUACAUUCACUUUGAUGGGAGGGAAUGUAGAAACCCUGUGUGUGCGUGUGCUCGUGUGUGCGUGUGUGUGUGUGUGUGUGUGUGUGUGUGUGUGUGUGUGUGUGUGUGUGUGUGUGUGUGUGUGUGUGUGUGUGUGUGUGUGUGUGUGUGUGUGUGUGUGUGUGUGUGUGUGUAUUUGAUCAAUGCAUCCGUCAUUCAUUGUAUUAUGUCAAGUCAAUGUUGUUGUAUUUUAAUUUUUUAUGUUUUCAUCCUGGAGAGUGUAUGUAAGUAAACAUUGUAAAUAAAUACAUUUUAUGCAACAAAAAAACAUGGAAAAACCAUAACAGUAAGAUUCCUUUGUAGACCAUUAUAUUCAAUUGUAUACGGAACGUUUAGCCUUUUAACAGAUAAUGAGCAUUACAUGCACAACUUCCGUUUUCCUUUUCCGGUUGUAGGUUUGACUGUCAUAGAAUAACGCUCAAACGGAAGUUAGGAUGCAUGGAUAAGUAGGGCGGGGGCUCUAUAGGAAAAAUGGAGUGUACGUCAUUAUCCAAAACAAUGUAAUUGUAUAAUGAGAUUGAUGCCUAUUGAUAAAGUGGAUGGAAGUCAACCAACUCCUAUAGACUAAGAGUACUAGAGCUGAGGAGUCAACAACUGAGGGUCACCUUGGCAGCGGAUAUCACACCAGGCAGCAAGGGCAGGAGAGAGAGAGAAGCUCCUCGGAUAUCAGGCGAGGGAAGCGAGGGCCAGAUCGGCUCCUCCAUUCACCUGGUGAGACCGGAUCCAAUAAUAGACGAAGACUGGGUUUGCCUUUAACGAGAGGCCCCCGUCGACCCCCACCUGCUCCCGGGGAUAAUACCGACCGACAGACAGGCCCCCGUCCAUGAAUGCCAAAACGCACUCAGCAUCAUCUUCUAGCUCUUCUUUCAUUUCUUCCGGGUUAUGAAGUAUUACGUUUCUCUUCAGUACAAUACGCACUUAUGUUCACUCUCCACUUUGAUCCUCGCGCGCCUGGACAAAGCACCUGACAGUGAACUAUGAUGCAACUAUAGUGAGACCAAAAUGGUUCCUUAUUCCCUACACAGUGCGCUACUUUGUACCAGAGUGUGCUAUGUAGCUCUGGUCAUAAGUAAUGGAUUAUAUAGGGAAUAGGGUGCAAUGUGGAACGCAGAAAGGGAAACCAAGCCUGUGCCGUAGAGAGUACAGUGUGGUCUACAGUGCCGCUCGCACGCACGCACUCACGCACGCACACACACACACACACACACACACACACACACACACACACACACACACACACACACACACACACACACACACACACACACACACACACACACACACACACACACACACACACACACACACACACUGGCUUUCAGACUCCCUGCCAAGGUAUGAGAUUGCAAAGAGAUUAGGAGCGGUAGAAGUCUCACGUUAAGACUCAGUAAAAUUAUAGAGAGACCAUUGUUUGUAGUGGGGUGGAUGGGAGACCGGGUUAGGCUAUGGAUAAAAAAAACUGUCCACAUUAGUCUAACUAAACCAGUCAUCUUCAAGGUCGUACUAGAAAGACCUUGAGCAUCUUAUUUUUGACCCAAAGAGCUUGCCAUGAAGCUAUUAUAAUGGAUUCAAAGGUUUUGCAGUACACUUUAAUGGUGAUUUUCUUUUAUUACAUCAUAGGCCAUAUUAUUAUGUUUAUGAUUAUUAUUAGCCAAUUAUUAUUAUGAUGAUGAUUAUCAUUGUAGGCUUUUGGCAUUACUAUUAACAUAAGCAUUAUUAAACAUAUUCUAAUCACAUCUUUCACCAAGUAUUAUUCUGUAUUAAAAUAAAAUAUUAUUAUUAUUAUUAUUAGUAGUAGUAGUAUUGUUAAAAAUAUGAAUAGUUACUAAUAUUGUUGUUAUCAUAUUGUCAGACCGUUAAUUCCGUAUAUCUAAUAGCAAAACAUAAGCUCUCACUCAGAUUGAGGGGAAUUCGAGACCUUCAAAGUUGUUUGUGUGAAUUUUUUGUCGGUCUCAGCCAGCUGGAAAACAUAUACUCUCUGUCAAAGCUUUAAACGCAGUGCUUGAUUUACUGACGCCUUCCUUCACUACUUAUUAGCUAAUGGAUAACUGCACCGGUAAAGUUAUGCCUUUUAUUAAACUGUAUCCCUCUGUAGGCUUCAAAAAGUUACAGCAGCUCAAUUUUGUUUCACCUUUUUACUGAAGGUUGUAGCAGGUUGUACAGAUUCCAUCCUAGGAGCAGAACUGGCGUAAGUAAACAGCGCAGGAUGUUUUGAGACAGGACAGAGAUGAAUUCCGGCCAUGGUACAAUAGUGGUAAAGCUCAGGCCUGAAGACACGUCUUUCUAGUCGUUUAUUCAUUAAUUAACGUGCCCAAAAUAUGUAUAAUUCCUGACUUUUACAUCUGCAGUUUUGUCAUUGGAUGUAAAAUAGUGUUGUUAGGGGGAAAGUCUUGUUUAAUUGAACACAGUCAUCUGAGCACCAUGAUUCAUUGAGAAUUAGUCCUACACUCAUGUGGCUAUUUUCAAGCUGUAUGGGAAUCCAACGUUUGUAAUAUCGUUGUGUAUGACUUAACAUACCAGCACAUAACGUGCUCAGUACAACUGUCGGUCCAUGCUUAAAUGUGCCACCAAAGGCGCCACUUGACGUAUAAUGGGCUAGAUUAGCGUAAAAUAGCGAGUUAGAGAGGUCAAUCUGUGUUUUCCCAUCUUUAUCAGGGGUUAAUAUGGAUUCACAUCCUUCACACAUUCUUCUAAUGCCUCGGCUUCAGUGCGCGUGGACAGAUUGAUCUAAUAUCCAGGCAAGCACAUCCAUUGCUGCAUAUUUGUCAAGUCUCCAAAAAGCGGAUAUUUUGUGUGGCCUAAAGAUACGUAUCUAUGUCUUCGAGUCUUGACAUGUUAAACCUAAAAAUACUCUUUAGCAAUGUGUCUCAAAGGAAAAUGGAGUAACUGUUUGUUAAUGUGUUGUGUUUAAAAAGAAUAAUGGAUAAAACCACUACUAACACUCACGCAUCUCACCCUGUACAGCGGCAUAAUUCAUCAGUCGCACGUCAGCGAUGGGUUAAGAAAAUGUCAGCGAGAAGCGCUCUCACCUUGUCAUUCUGCGGCGCCGCGAGGAUACGCUUCCACCUUCACGCCCUGCGUGUUUAUCACACAGCAAGACACCAGCUGCGUCUGAAAUGGCACCCUAAUCACUAUAUUGUACAUUACUUUUGACCAAGGCUGAUAGGGUUCUGGUCAAAAGUAUGACACUAUAUAUGGUAGGCAAUAGGGCGCCAUUUCUGACAGAUUCCUCCUUAGCUAUUGUUAGUUAUUUGCCUGCUGUUCUACAGAGCCCCAGAAUCAUGUCAUGGAUGGAUGCAGUUAUUGUCCAAUCAGAACCAUUUCAGGGAGACUGUCUGACUGCUUGAUGUAUUUAUUGUCUACACUCUGGCUCACCAUCGUUUGUAAAGUGUUUUUCAGUCAUUUGAUGAAAUAAAUGUAG